Molecule: ribosomal RNA, 253 nt
Filed under: uncultured bacterium
Lineage: Bacteria
Description: partial 16S ribosomal RNA
Rfam family: Bacterial small subunit ribosomal RNA
Source: RNAcentral
UACGUAGGGUGCAAGCGUUGUCCGGAAUUAUUGGGCGUAAAGAGCUUGUAGGCGGUUUGUCGCGUCUGCUGUGAAAUUUCGGGGCUCAACCCCGAACUUGCAGUGGGUACGGGCAGACUAGAGUGUGGUAGGGGAGACUGGAAUUCCUGGUGUAGCGGUGAAAUGCGCAGAUAUCAGGAGGAACACCGAUGGCGAAGGCAGGUCUCUGGGCCAUAACUGACGCUGAGAAGCGAAAGCAUGGGGAGCAAACAGG